RNAcentral lists this ribosomal RNA (509 nucleotides) under uncultured bacterium. Its description in RNAcentral is "partial 16S ribosomal RNA". It matches the Rfam family "Bacterial small subunit ribosomal RNA", at positions 28 to 523 of the family's 1533-position model. The record is from RNAcentral.
GACGAACGCUGGCGGCGUGCUUAACACAUGCAAGUGGAGCGACGAACCGGGCUUCGGCCCGGGGCAAAGCCGCGAACGGGUGAGUAACACGUGGGUAACCUGCCCCAAAGACCGGGACAACCCGAGGAAACUCGGGCUAAUACCGGAUGUGUUCACUGUCCACAAGGACAGUGAGGAAAGGAAGCUUCGGCCUCCGCUUUGGGAUGGGCCCGCGGCCCAUUAGCUUGUUGGUGAGGUAACGGCUCACCAAGGCUGCGAUGGGUAGCUGGUCUGAGAGGACGAUGCGCCACACUGGGACUGAGACACGGCCCAGACUCCUACGGGAGGCAGCAGUGGGGAAUCUUGCGCAAUGCGCGACAGCGUGACGCAGCAACGCCGCGUGGGGGAAGAAGGCCUUCGGGUUGUAAACCUCUUUCAGGAGGGGCGAAGCUCCGGCAGCGAAUAGCUGUCCGGAGUGACGGUACCUCCACAAGAAGCCCCGGCUAACUACGUGCCAGCCGCCGCGGUAA